GAGGUUGUGACUUAGCGGUAGAGUGCUCGCCUAGCACAUGCGAGGCCCUGGGUUCGAUCCUCAGCACCACA
Molecule: transfer RNA, 71 nt
Filed under: Marmota monax (woodchuck)
Lineage: Eukaryota; Metazoa; Chordata; Mammalia; Rodentia; Sciuridae
Description: tRNA.Ala
Source: RNAcentral